CCUACGGGUGGCUGCAGUGGGGAAUAUUGGGCAAUGGGCGCAAGCCUGACCCAGCAACGCCGCGUGAAGGAAGAAGGCCUUCGGGUUGUAAACUUCUGUUCUCAGGGACGAAGCAAGUGACGGUACCUGAGGAAUAAGCCACGGCUAACUACGUGCCAGCAGCCGCGGUAAUACGUAGGUGGCAAGGGUUAUCCGGAUUUACUGGGUGUAAAGGGCGUGUAGGCGGGGACGCAAGUCAGAUGUGAAAUCCACGGGCUCAACCUGUGACCUGCAUUUGAAACUGUGUAUCUUGAGUACUGGAGAGGCAGACGGAAUUCCUAGUGUAGCAGUGAAAUGCGUAGAUAUUAGGAGGAACACCAGUGGCGAAGGCGGUCAGCUGGACAGCAACUGACGCUGAGGCGCGAAAGCGUGGGGAGCAAACAGGAUUAGAUACCCCUGUAGUC
Molecule: ribosomal RNA, 443 nt
Filed under: uncultured bacterium
Lineage: Bacteria
Description: partial 16S ribosomal RNA
Rfam family: Bacterial small subunit ribosomal RNA
Source: RNAcentral